ACGUAGGACGCAAGCGUUAUCCGGAAUUACUGGGCGUAAAGGGCGUGCAGGCGGUUUCCUAAGUCAGGCGUGAAAGCCACGGGCUAAACCUGGGGAGGACGUUUGAUACUGGGGGACUAGAGUGUGGUAGAGGGGUGUAGAAUUCCGGGUGUAGUGGUGAAAUGCGUAGAUAUCGGGAGGAACACCGGUGGCGAAAGCGGAUCUCUGGCGCGUUACUGACGCUGAGGCUCGAAAGCGUGGGGAGCAAACGG
This 251-nucleotide ribosomal RNA is filed under the name uncultured prokaryote. RNAcentral describes it as "partial 16S ribosomal RNA". It matches the Rfam family "Bacterial small subunit ribosomal RNA", at positions 525 to 775 of the family's 1533-position model. The record is from RNAcentral.